RNAcentral lists this ribosomal RNA (371 nucleotides) under uncultured organism. RNAcentral's name for it is "bacterial SSU rRNA". It matches the Rfam family "Bacterial small subunit ribosomal RNA", at positions 526 to 896 of the family's 1533-position model. The record is from RNAcentral.
CAGAGGGGGCAAGCGUUGUUCGGAAUUACUGGGCGUAAAGGGCGCGUAGGCGGCCUGUUAAGUCGAACGUGAAAUCCCUGGGCUCAACCCAGGAACUGCGUCCGAUACUGGCAGGCUUGAAUCCGGGAGAGGGAUGUGGAAUUCCAGGUGUAGCGGUGAAAUGCGUAGAUAUCUGGAGGAACACCGGUGGCGAAGGCGGCAUCCUGGACCGGUAUUGACGCUGAGGCGCGAAAGCCAGGGGAGCAAACGGGAUUAGAUACCCCGGUAGUCCUGGCCCUAAACGAUGAAUGCUUGGUGUGGCGGGUAUCGAUCCCUGCCGUGCCGAAGCUAACGCAUUAAGCAUUCCGCCUGGGGAUACGGUCGCAAGGCUG